This 489-nucleotide ribosomal RNA is filed under the name uncultured bacterium. RNAcentral's name for it is "partial 16S ribosomal RNA". It matches the Rfam family "Bacterial small subunit ribosomal RNA", at positions 28 to 507 of the family's 1533-position model. The record is from RNAcentral.
GAUGAACGCUAGCUACAGGCUUAACACAUGCAAGUCGAGGGGCAGCAUGAUUGAAGCUUGCUUCAAUCGAUGGCGACCGGCGCACGGGUGAGUAACACGUAUCCAACCUGCCGAUAACUCGGGGAUAGCCUUUCGAAAGAAAGAUUAAUACCCGAUAGUAUAGUAUUUCCGCAUGGUUUCACUAUUAAAGAACUUCGGUUAUCGAUGGGGAUGCGUUCCAUUAGAUAGUUGGCGGGGUAACGGCCCACCAAGUCAACGAUGGAUAGGGGUUCUGAGAGGAAGGUCCCCCACAUUGGAACUGAGACACGGUCCAAACUCCUACGGGAGGCAGCAGUGAGGAAUAUUGGUCAAUGGACGAGAGUCUGAACCAGCCAAGUAGCGUGAAGGAUGACUGCCCUAUGGGUUGUAAACUUCUUUUAUACGGGAAGAAAGUGGAGUAUGCAUACUCCUUUGUAUGUACCGUAUGAAUAAGGAUCGGCUAACUCCGUG